CACGUAGGUGGCAAGCGUUGUCCGGGAUUACUGGGUGUAAGGGGAGCGCAGGCGGGACUGCAAGUUGGAUGUGAAAUACCGCGGCUUAACCGCGGAGCUGCAUCCAAAGCUGUAGUUCUUGAGUGGAGUAGAGGUAGGCGGAAUUCCGAGUGUAGCGGUGAAAUGCGUAGAUAUUCGGAGGAACACCAGUGGCGAAGGCGGACUACUGGGCUCUUACUGACGCUGAGGCUCGAAAGUGUGGGGAGCAAAC
RNAcentral lists this ribosomal RNA (250 nucleotides) under uncultured prokaryote. RNAcentral's name for it is "partial 16S ribosomal RNA". It matches the Rfam family "Bacterial small subunit ribosomal RNA", at positions 524 to 773 of the family's 1533-position model. The record is from RNAcentral.